CCCGAGUAGCUGGGAUCACAGGCAUGUGCCACUACACCCAGCUAAUUUUUUUUUUUUUUUUUUUUUUUUUGUAUUUUUAGUAGAGAUGGGAUUUCACCAUGUUGGCCAGGCUGGUCUUGAACUCCUGACCUCAGGUGAUCCACCUGCCUCGGCCUCCCAGAGUGCUGGGAUUAUAGGCGUGAGCCACCACGCCCGGCCUGUUUCCUUUGGUUUAAAGUGGAUUCGAAUCAGUGUUAAAUCAGAAAAUCAGGGUUUUCUAGGAAAUUGGGAAUUAGUUGCCAGAAAGGAAACUGAACUAUGCAGAAGGAGUUAAGAGCUGGGAUGAGGCUGGAUGGGGUGACUGACAGUCUGGAUCAUUGAAACUGAUUGGGUGGUUGGUCAGAAACGGGUCCAGAUGAGGAUGAGGCUGGAUGGGGUGACUGACAGUCUGGAUCAUUGAAACUGAUUGGGUCGUCAGAAACUGGUCCAGAUGAGGCUGGAUGGGGUGACUGACAGUUUGGAUCAUUGAAACUGAUUGGGUGGUCAGAAACGGGUCCAGAUGAGGAUGAGGCUGGAUGGGGUGACUGACAGUCUGGAUCAUUGAAACUGGUCCACUAUGACGCAGCAGGGGCAGUUUGGCAGAGCAUCCUCUUCCCUUGUCCUUGUGAAAGAACACAGGAAACAUUUGGGUUUUACAGCUUUUCACACCCUACUAUCAGGCAUCAGAAUCAAAAUUAGUUACUAAAUUGGGUGAAUUUUUGGAAACCUGCAUUUCUAUUCAUCUGCUAUUCCAGAAAAAAAUGGGAAUGUAUUACAGGAGAGUUACCUCACAGUGUCUUAUGUUGUGGAACCUGAAGCAUAACCACGUGUUUUCUUAUAUGAUCAUUUGUGUUGAUACUGCUUUUAUUUGAGUUUAUGAACAGAAAUAGAAAGUAUGGUGCUUGGGUUUUGCCCUUUCUUACUCCUGAAAGUUAAAUCAGAAGACACUGAUUUCAUUUUGUGAAAUUUAGCUCAGAGACGAUUGAUCUUUUGUUUCAUUAAUAUGAACAACUAUUAGUAAAAAAAUAGCUUUAACAGCAUUUCUGCUGAUAUCUAGUAAUCUAUUCUUUUAAUGUGAAAAUACGAUAAAAUGUCCUGGAGCUAAUUCUAGCUUAAAUUUGCCAGUAUUUCUUCUGUAUGUCAUUAAGUUUUUUUCCUCUAAGGUUGGUAAUAGAAUUUUGUUAAUCUUUGCAUACCUGAUGGCAUCUAUGUCAAUGCUGAUUGGGUAAUUAUAAAUUCUGUGCUCAUUUAAAACUUAAUUUGCCUCUUAAGGUGAUUGUCCUCUGAGUAAUGAUUGUAGUUAAAUGAAGUAUAGCUUGCAACUAUACUAUCACAUGGGUUGUUAAGUAAAAAUAAAUAAACCAAAUUUGUCUGAGACAGGCUAAGAUCAAUCUUCUCAUCAAACCAGUUUUUCUCUAAGAGCAAUUUCACUUUAAGUUUUAGGGUGGACAUUCUUGAAUGCCUCAAAUUAAACGUUAUCUAUUUAAUCUUCCUGGAAUAGUCUGUGACCAAAAAGGAGGGUGUGAUAUAUUUAGGUGUAAAUAUAUCACAUAUAUGGUGUGAUAUAUUUGGGAUUUAUAUAUUCAGCUCAUUCUCUGUGAAGAAGUCUUCCUGACUAAAAUUGGUUUCAAGAUAAACUAAUUUCUGUUAGUAUUUCUACUCUGCCUACCAUGUAUGCCUUUUUGUUAGAAACUAAUAAAUGUAUCAGUCACUAGCAGGUACUGGUCCUUUUUCCUCUCAUUUUUGUGGAAAGGAUAUGCAAACGUUGAAUUUCUCAGGGAGUACUAAGGCUGUG
RNAcentral lists this long non-coding RNA (1813 nucleotides) under Pan troglodytes (chimpanzee). RNAcentral describes it as "long non-coding RNA NONPTRT012271". The record is from RNAcentral. Lineage: Eukaryota; Metazoa; Chordata; Mammalia; Primates; Hominidae.